This 348-nucleotide unclassified non-coding RNA is filed under the name soil metagenome. Its description in RNAcentral is "partial contains 5.8S ribosomal RNA, internal transcribed spacer 2, and large subunit ribosomal RNA". The stretch from base 1 to 120 matches the Rfam family "5.8S ribosomal RNA", at positions 35 to 154 of the family's 154-position model. The record is from RNAcentral.
GAUGAAGAACGUAGCGAAAUGCGAUAAGUAAUGUGAAUUGCAGAAUUCAGUGAAUCAUCGAAUCUUUGAACGCACAUUGCGCCCGCCAGUAUUCUGGCGGGCAUGCCUGUCUGAGCGUCAUUUCAACCCUCAUGCCCCUAGGGCGUGGUGUUGGGGAUCGGCCAAAGCCCGCGAGGGACGGCCGGCCCCUAAAUCUAGUGGCGGACCCGUCGUGGCCUCCUCUGCGAAGUAGUGAUAUUCCGCAUCGGAGAGCGCCGAGCCCCUGCCGUUAAACCCCCAACUUUCCAAGGUUGACCUCAGAUCAGGUAGGAAUACCCGCUGAACUUAAGCAUAUCAAUAAGCGGAGGA